AUGGCCCCACCGCCGGAGCUGAUGGACGAGCUCGUCGGCGAGGUCCUCCUCCUCCUUCCUCCCGACGAUCCCGAGCACCUCUUCCGCGCCGCCCUCGUCUGCAAGUCGUGGCUCCGCGUCGUCUGCGACCCCUCCUUCCGCCGCCGCUACCGCGCCUUCCACGGAGCCCCUCCCCUCCUCGGCCUCCUCCAACAGUUCCAAGUCCUCCAACAAAGGCCCGCGCCCCGCUUCACCUCCACCACGUCGAUGCCAGACUUCCCCUACCCGGGCUCCGACGGCCAGGGCAAGCACCCCGUUCCCCUCGACUGCCGCCACGGCCGCGUGCUCAUCCACAUGGUGCAGGACGAGGGCCUGGUUUUCGUCGUCUCGGACCCGGUCACGGGCGACCGGCACGUCCUCCCCGCGCCGGGCAUCGUCUGGCUCAUCUGCACUGCCGCGGUCUUCUGCGCCGCCGAUGGCUGCCAACAUCUCGACUGCCAAGGCGGCCCCUUCCGCGUCGCCUUCCUGGCCACCGACGACGACGACCGCCAGGUUAAGGCGAGCGUGUACUCGUCGGUGACAGGUGCGUGGAGUGCGCCAGUAUCUCUUGACGAUGGUUGCGAAUGCUAUUCCCAGCACAUCCGAGAUGACAUUGCAGAAAACCUCUACCACCUGCCCUAUGUCAUGCCCCGGCGAGUAGCUGUCAUUGGAGAUGAGGUCUACUUCACACUUCGCUCUGCUCACAAAAUCGUCAAGUACAACUUGCCAAACAACUGCUUAUCCAUGAUCGACCCGCCGCCACACACUAGGAGCCCAAUUGCUCUCAUGGUGAUGGAGGACAGUUCGCUGGGGUUUGCCUGCACUGAGAGUUCUAGUCUUUAUCUGUGGUCAAGGAAGGUGAAUUCAGAAGCAGCUGCUGAAUGGGUAAAAUGCAGGAACAUCGAGCUGGAGACAAUUGUGCCCGUCGUGGAUCCAGAUUACCAACCAUUUGUGGUUGGUUCCGCAGAGGGUGUGGGUGUCAUCUUCAUAAACACAGAUGCUGGCUUAUUCACUCUAGAGCUCAAGUCAGGGCGAGUCAGAAAGGUUGAUGAGCCCGCACAGUACUUUAGCGUCCUACCCUACAUGAGCUUCUACACUCCAGAUCGUGGCAUAUUGUUGGCGCUAGCGAAGACCCACUGA
Molecule: ribosomal RNA, 1158 nt
Filed under: Triticum aestivum (bread wheat)
Lineage: Eukaryota; Viridiplantae; Streptophyta; Magnoliopsida; Poales; Poaceae
Description: partial small subunit ribosomal RNA
Source: RNAcentral